CAAAAUAGAUCAGUUGGUGUAGCACUUGCGAGGCACAGCUGAGCAUAAAUUGAAAUCAUUUGCCUUUUUAUUUUACUGUACUGACGGUACCUGCAUCUGAUGGUCAUGGUUAUUUCAAGACAACUGGGAACUCGGGGAAAAGGGAGGUAAAAUCAUGACGUCAGUGAUCCUCAGAUCGGAAAAUGGAAGCUCCAGAAAGAUGCCCGAGUUUUCUACUUGGAAUUCCGAGUUGGAUGUUCAAAAAUAUUUUUGUCAGUCGGAUCUAGUUUUUUUUCUUCGAGUUCCCAGUUGUCUUGAAUACACUGAAGUCGGAGAGAGGGAGCUGAGGGAUGGAGAGAGCAGCAAAGGGUCCGCCUCUCACCGUCCUUUCCUCCAGUGAGACUGACGAGAGGGGACAACGUCUUCCAACUGAUGGCGAAACUCCAGUCGCACAGCAUCUGCCUCAUGCUGAGUCAUGCACAAGUUCAUGUUGUUCCUAUGACCAGAGAAAGUGAAAUAUUCCUCGAUAUUAAAAUACACACGACGAGCUGCUAAUAAUAAAAAUGCAGGGCUAUUGAUACGCUUGGCUACUAAUUAAUUUCAGCUGCAGCACAAGUGAUAGUAUGGAGAAGCGCGUUUUCUGUUUUGUAAAGGUGUUGAAUAAAAACAGUGUUGACAGUGCUGAAUAAAAACUUAAACAUGAACUCACUCAUAAAAAUACCAGCUCCUUGCGGUAUUAUUUGACAGUCUCUCUGGUCAUGGUUUUUAAUAGUUAUGAAAUCUCAUAUAGGCUAAUAUCAAACUACACUGGAAGCUGUAGGCACGUGGAUUUGAGCUAUCCUAUUGGCCAGUAAGUAGACACUCGAUUUAGCCACAGAUAUCCUGGUCCGCCAGGUAGUUAGUUUGGUUUUUCAGACAAAUAAAAAGGUUCAAAAUGGGAACACUUUGUCUACGCAGGGCUUCUGAAUCAAGUGCACCUACCAUCAACUGCGCGACACGAAUUUUAAAAAAGGAGCGCAAGUCUUUAUCGUUGGCUUUUCUACAAAAAUGUUUGGUGAUCGACUAGGAAUGCUUUCACCGAUUGGUGACCACUGAGCUAUACGUUAGAAUGUAGCAACUGUACUAGGGAGCAUGUAAUGAUAACAAUGACAAUAGUGCUAAUGGAAUAAUAGCUUCAAUUGAAUAGCAUUGUAAUAACAUAGGCCAGUGGUACUCAUUGCGGCUCUCGGUGAUUUUCCUAGUUUCCAUUGACAAUACAUAAAUUAUACAAUUUAAAUUAAAUGUGUUUAAUUAAUGCAGGCCUGAAUCACUUCAUAGGCUAUGUCUGUUGCUCCUUGGACCGCAGAUAGAUGGCAGUAUAGCGCAGCUGUUAAACAGAAAGUUUGCCGAAAUAGAACGCAACUGCUCAGCUGCAUCGACCAACACAUCAGUUUGCUACUAGCUAAUUUUGCAGUCUGGUAGACAUGGAUCGAUUUAUUGUAAAAAAUAAACGUAAAUCUAUUGACAAUGAAAAUUAGGGGGGAAGAGCUGGGGAACAACGUGUCAGCUAUGAACGAGCAACCAUCGGAGAACCAGGAAAAUCAGGAAAAUGGCGGCAGGGAAAUGCGGUUAGCUAACGUGGCUCUGGUGGCUAAGAGAAGAAUAAGGUCGAUUCAAGAAGAAUACAGAAAGUUCCAAGAGAAAUGGACAGACAAGUAUUUUUUUGUACUGCAUAAUGGUACUAGCUCGCAUUGUCUUAUUUGCCAGAAGGCAGUCAAUUGUUUAAAAAAUGCAAGUUUAGAGCGACAUUUCCAGUCACAUCAUGCACACUUUGACAAAACAUCCGCCACCAAGCAACCUCAGAAACAACAAAAUAGCGCAACUCAAAGGACAGCUAAAAGGACAACAACAAAUGACGGACAGAUCUAGCACUGUUGCAGAGAAAAUGACAGAGACAACAUAUGAGAUUGCUUGGGAUACACACGAGAAACAAGAAGGCCUUCACAGAUGUGACCUCAGCUGAAAUGUUGUAUGCUGAUUUCACAAACAAGGAAUCUAUUAAAUCUAUUAAAGCAAAUUAAGGGACUGCAACUCUCAGACUCGACCAUAACAAGACGCAUAGAAGACAACACAUCAGUGGCGCAGUGUUUUUGUAUUGUGCUUGAUGACAGCGCUGAUGUAAGUGACAUUGGGCAAUUAUAUGUUUGGGUUCACUUCCCUCAAAACGAGUCGUUCAGAGAGGAACGUUUAUGUUUACUGCCCCUUCAGGGACAAACAGGAGGAUGGGAUAUUCUGAAAGCCCUUGUUACAUAAUAUUGACAUUGUCAAAUCUGGCAUCUGUGUGCACUAUCGGUGCCCCAAAUAUGCGAGGGGAGGAGAAGGGACUCAACAAUGAGCAUUGUGAAACAAAAACAGAGAAACAGACUGACCAAUGCACACCUGGAUUGCCUCACAGGGAUAGCAACAACAGACUAAAUUUAGAAUGAAUUCAGUCAAGGAGCAGAAGUGACAUUGAGGACUACAAUGGAGCAUUCUUACCCAGAUAAAUGGCUUGGCUACGAUGCUCCACUCUUGAAGAAGUGUCAGGUAUUCAUCAGUGACAGAUGACAAAACAGGCUCACGUGUUCACCAAAUUGAAAAUGGGGAUUGACCAACACAGAUAGAAGGAAUGGAUAUGCCUUCAGAGAAGGAUGCCCAAACCCAAUGGGAAGACCCAUCUCUAAGUGAUCACAGCUCAGGUGAUCAUGUAAAGCCCACUACCUGUGAGGCAGGGACACAGUGCCCAGCAGGACCUCUCUACAAAACCGUGCUGAGGAACGAAGCACUCUGUCGACUGCAUACAGCCUUGUUGCCUUUUCUACCCUGGCGGAACAUCUUCUACCCCUCUACAAAGGCAGCUUUCAGUUAGACCUGACAUACUAAUUCCUGAUGACACUGAUGAAGCUGAAGCUCAACUUGCUGCAGCAGUACCUAGCAGAAAGGUUUGGUGUUUCCCAGAGUAUUGUCAGUUGAGUGAUUUAGUUAUUGGAUCGACAUGAUGGAAGAGAAUCUGAGGGAGUGCAUUCCAUGGCUGCCAAGGGAGACCAUCCGUGCUACAAUGCCACAAUGUUUUAAGGACCACUACCCAGGAACAACCUGCAUUAUUGACUGCUCAGAAACUGUUUUACAGAAGUGCAAGGUUCUGGAUUCAAAGGGGGAGUCAUUCAGCCAUUACUACGCCUAGAACACUAUCAAGUACCUGGUGGCCAUUGCACCUUGUGGUCUAGUGAUGUUCAUCUCCUCAGCAUAUGGAGGUAGAUGUAGCGACAAAUAUAUAACAUUGGAUUCUAGGUUCCUGGAGUACCUCUGUCCAGGUGAUGAGGUCAUGGCUCACCGGGGCUUCACAAUCAGUGAUCUGCUACACGAGAGGAAGGUCAAAUGAACAAUUCCAGCCUUCACAAAAAGAGGCGCACAGCUGUCAGAGGAGGACACCACAUGUACAAGACGGAUAGCUAACGUGAGGGUUCAUGUGGAACGCGUAAUUCAAAGGCUCAAAUGGUUUAGAAACAUCUCACAGACAGUGCCAAUCAACCUCUCAUCUAAAAUGGACAAAAUACUUUGAAUCUGUGCCGCCCUGUGUAACCUGCGUGGCGAUAUCAUUCAUGAAGAUGCUGAAUGAACUGACCAGUCAAAUGCCAUUCACAGGGUCGAUUUCCCAAUAUGAAUUAAAGUUGUGUCAAAAGUUACAUGCAAUUUCAAUUCAUUCUAUAACAACUCAACUUAAUUAUUUGUUUUACAUACUGAUUCAUAUUAAUAAAAAAAACGAAGCCAUAAAAACAGUUUCCACAGUACUGUGACUGUUGAUGCAUUAAGUCAGGCUUUUUAACUGGAAAACAAUGUGUUAAUAGUAACUGCAAACAGGAGAGACAUCUGACCACAUACUUCUACAGAGCUGCAUAUAUUUGUCACUCGGUGACAAUCUGCCUGCCUGAUGAUCCUCAACAAUAAAUGGCAGCAUGUGUAUAAAGUAGAAUGCCUUCAACCUCAGCACAGCCUCUGCACAGAACUGUGCAUCAUAGGGAACAGGGAUGACAACUUGCUGGGAUGGAGUCCAGAUGAGCACCUUACUUUCUCUCAGUCCUGUGCUAAACAUACCAAUUUGCGCACCUGCAUGUAGUAGCCACGUGGCCCAUGUGGUUGCAGUUGGGGUGUGCCCUCCACAUCACAGGCUUUCCCAUUGAAGACAUCAUCCAGAGAAUCAUAGCCCUUCCCCAUGACUGGACACUUGAUCUCCAACAGCUCCUUGGAGUUAAGCACUCCAUCAGGGCUUGCUGGUAGCCAUGGCUCUUCAACACUGACAACAGUGCCUCUAUGGUCCACAGAGUAACCACAGUCUUCCAGCCACUGGGUGGCCAUCAGCACAUUAUCUUUCCCGUAGCAUGUGGCUGCACUCCCUCGGGAACCUGGGAUACAGAUGAUCCUGGAGAAACUUACCAGGGUUAGUGGAUUCCCUGACGGACCUUCUUUCUUGCAGAAACUCAAAGCUUCCUUGAGUCAUGCCACAAGUGUGAGACACUCUGCUCCUUUGUGAUCUGUUCCUAAGUAGUCGACUGGGUUGGGUCAAGUUUCACAAAUUCAUUGUAGAAGGACAGGCACUUCUGGCAGUUGUAAUUGACAUGCUCUCCAUGUGGCUGGGAAAGAGUAGAGAAUCUAUAUGAAGUUAUUAUAUGGAGUUAGCAAGCAUUGAGCAGAAGAGAUACACAUCAGUUCAAAUACAUUAAAAUGGUACAGCCACAAAUAAAUAUUCCUUUCAGUCCAAUUUUACCUGGGAUGCUACUGGCUGUGAUAUUAUUGUCGGUUCAGCAUUAACACACUUAUAGAGCAGACUCCCCACAGGCCGAUUCAGGUGUCUCAAGCUCCUAUUCAAUUUCUCAUGUGAGUGGAAUGCAGGAGUGGACAUUCUGGAUGCUUUUCUGCAUAUUGGUCACUGGCCUUAUGGUGUGUGAAGUCAAUGCUGGUUAACCGCUUUGACUCAAGGUUCCUCCCAAGUCCCUGCAUUCCAUUGUCGAUGCUCAUCGGUGCAGGCUAUGCCAGUUAGCCCACUGGACACUGCAUUCUGCACCUGUGAUAGAAUGUUUGUUACAAAAAAAAGACAUUCAGAGAAAAUCACAUUAUUAACAAUUGUGUGACUGAGGACUAUGUGAUCAACUUAAUCAAAACACAUGCAAGUUACAUCAUAAACUUACCUUGCUAUUGUUCCCAAUGAGAUGAGACCACUUAAACUUACCAUACUUUAGGCAUUUGUCAUAGGGGUCAUUGAAAGGAGGCCAAGGCACAGCAUGUAUAGUGCUCAUUCUUUGUCUUUAAUGAAUACACUUCAACAACAAAAACGACCAACAACAGUUCCGUCAGGUACACUAGACUAAACGGAAACAACUACCCACAAACCCCAAAGGAAAACAGGCUGCCUAAGUAUGGCUUCCAAUCAGAGACAACGAAAGUCACCUGCCUCUGAUUGGAAACCAUACCCGGCCAAAACAUGGAAAACGAAACAUAGAAAUAGAAUUCCAGCACGAUCCCACCUAGAAACAGAAAACCCCAAAACCACCCAAAACAACCACCUGUCACACCCACUAUGGCAAAUGACCUCUUACAAUGGUCAGGACGUGACAGCAUUGCCCCCAACCACAAGGAUAUUUUACAAACCUUAUUCACCCAGAAAAACAAUAACACUAAAGAAAUACAUGUGAUGCUGACAUGUUAAAAUAAAUUGUAUACCCUACUCACCUGGACUCCAUAAAUCUUCCUUGCCUCACCAACAUGAUUUGAUAGGAUACUUACAGAUUCCCCACAUUAAUACAGCAGUUCUGUUGAUUCACAAAUACAUGUUAACAUAACCAAUAAAUUAUGACAUGGAGUAUGGUUGAGCCGAGCGUUCUGACCUCAUAACGGCAGUCAAGCACCCAAGCUAACUGGCUAAAGUUAGCUCGCUUGAUAGCUACUUCCAGACAUAAAUGAGAGAACAUCUCACUCUGACCAUUUUACUCGCCCUAGCAGAGCUGGUUAGGCUGUUUUCAUGUUAUCCAGAGCGUUGGUGACUAACUGUGCUGCUGGCAAUAAUUUAAUUACGCUUUUUUGCCGACGUUUACUGACACCGGCCAUAUUCAACGGUUGUUGAGCGUUUGUAAAUUCAUCAGUUAUUCUGCGCUCUGGCACACUCAGACCAGAGUGCACUGAAAUCGGAGUAGAUAGCCAGAGUGAAUUUACAAACAUACCCCUACUCCUCGGCCGAGUGUCCAGUGUGCGCUCAGAGAGCAAAACGCUCUGAAUUUACAAACAAUCUGACA
Molecule: long non-coding RNA, 6284 nt
Filed under: Salmo salar (Atlantic salmon)
Lineage: Eukaryota; Metazoa; Chordata; Actinopteri; Salmoniformes; Salmonidae
Description: lncRNA (ENSSSAG00000089588.1)
Source: RNAcentral